CAAACGGCCCUUUUCAGGGCCACAACUAAAUUCACGAAAGAGUUG
Regulatory RNA element from Culex pipiens (northern house mosquito), 45 nucleotides. It matches the Rfam family "Histone 3' UTR stem-loop". From Rfam's summary of the family: The mRNAs of metazoan histone genes lack a poly-A tail. The record is from Rfam. Lineage: Eukaryota; Metazoa; Arthropoda; Insecta; Diptera; Culicidae.